This 425-nucleotide ribosomal RNA is filed under the name uncultured bacterium. RNAcentral's name for it is "partial 16S ribosomal RNA". It matches the Rfam family "Bacterial small subunit ribosomal RNA", at positions 354 to 796 of the family's 1533-position model. The record is from RNAcentral.
GUGGGGAAUCUUGCGCAAUGGGCGAAAGCCUGACGCAGCCAUGCCGCGUGAAUGAUGAAGGUCUUAGGAUUGUAAAAUUCUUUCACCGGGGACGAUAAUGACGGUACCCGGAGAAGAAGCCCCGGCUAACUUCGUGCCAGCAGCCGCGGUAAUACGAAGGGGGCUAGCGUUGCUCGGAAUUACUGGGCGUAAAGGGCGCGUAGGCGGACAGUUUAGUCAGGGGUGAAAUCCCGGGGCUCAACCUCGGAACUGCCUUUGAUACUGGGUGUCUUGAGUAUGAGAGAGGUGUGUGGAACUCCGAGUGUAGAGGUGAAAUUCGUAGAUAUUCGGAAGAACACCAGUGGCGAAGGCGACACACUGGCUCAUUACUGACGCUGAGGCGCGAAAGCGUGGGGAGCAAACAGGAUUAGAUACCCUGGUAGUCC